This 764-nucleotide ribosomal RNA is filed under the name uncultured bacterium. RNAcentral describes it as "bacterial SSU rRNA". It matches the Rfam family "Bacterial small subunit ribosomal RNA", at positions 57 to 820 of the family's 1533-position model. The record is from RNAcentral.
GCAGUCGACGGCAGCACGGACUUAGGUCUGGUGGCGAGUGGCGAACGGGUGAGUAAUAUAUCGGAACGUGCCCAGUCGUGGGGGAUAACGUAGUGAAAAUUACGCUAAUACCGCAUACGAUCUAAGGAUGAAAGCGGGGGAUCGCAAGACCUCGCGCGAUUGGAGCGGCCGAUAUCAGAUUAGGUAGUUGGUGAGGUAAAGGCUCACCAAGCCAACGAUCUGUAGCUGGUCUGAGAGGACGGCCAGCCACACUGGAACUGAGACACGGUCCAGACUCCUACGGGAGGCAGCAGUGGGGAAUUUUGGACAAUGGACGCAAGUCUGAUCCAGCCAUUCCGCGUGCAGGACGAAGGCCUUCGGGUUGUAAACUGCUUUUGUACAGAACGAAAAGGUCUCUAUUAAUACUAGGGGCUCAUGACGGUACUGUAAGAAUAAGCACCGGCUAACUACGUGCCAGCAGCCGCGGUAAUACGUAGGGUGCAAGCGUUAAUCGGAAUUACUGGGCGUAAAGCGUGCGCAGGCGGUUAUAUAAGACAGAUGUGAAAUCCCCGGGCUCAACCUGGGAACUGCAUUUGUGACUGUAUAGCUGGAGUGCGGCAGAGGGGGAUGGAAUUCCGCGUGUAGCAGUGAAAUGCGUAGAUAUGCGGAGGAACACCGAUGGCGAAGGCAAUCCCCUGGGCCUGCACUGACGCUCAUGCACGAAAGCGUGGGGAGCAAACAGGAUUAGAUACCCUGGUAGUCACGCCCUAACGAUGUCAACUGGG